AUGCAGCCAUGCCGCGUGUAUGAAGAAGGCCUUCGGGUUGUAAAGUACUUUCAGUUGUGAGGAAGGGGGUAACGUUAAUAGCGCUAUCUCUUGACGUUAGCAACAGAAGAAGCACCGGCUAACUCCGUGCCAGCAGCCGCGGUAAUACGGAGGGUGCGAGCGUUAAUCGGAAUUACUGGGCGUAAAGCGCAUGCAGGUGGUUCAUUAAGUCAGAUGUGAAAGCCCGGGGCUCAACCUCGGAACUGCAUUUGAAACUGGUGAACUAGAGUACUGUAGAGGGGGGUAGAAUUUCAGGUGUAGCGGUGAAAUGCGUAGAGAUCUGAAGGAAUACCAGUGGCGAAGGCGGCCCCCUGGACAGAUACUGACACUCAGAUGCGAAAGCGUGGGGAGCAAACAGGAUUAGAUACCCUGGUAGUCCACGCCGUAAACGAUGUCUACUUGGAGGUUGUGGCCUUGAGCCGUGGCUUUCGGAGCUAACGCGUUAAGUAGACCGCCUGGGGAGUACGGUCGCAAGAUUAAAACUCAAAUGAAUUGACGGGGGCCCGCACAAGCGGUGGAGCAUGUGGUUUAAUUCGAUGCAACGCGAAGAACCUUACCUACUCUUGACAUCCAGAGAAGCCAGCGGAGACGCAGGUGUGCCUUCGGGAGCUCUGAGACAGGUGCUGCAUGGCUGUCGUCAGCUCGUGUUGUGAAAUGUUGGGUUAAGUCCCGCAACGAGCGCAACCCUUAUCCUUGUUUGCCAGCGAGUAAUGUCGGGAA
RNAcentral lists this ribosomal RNA (759 nucleotides) under Vibrio splendidus. RNAcentral describes it as "bacterial SSU rRNA". It matches the Rfam family "Bacterial small subunit ribosomal RNA", at positions 386 to 1137 of the family's 1533-position model. The record is from RNAcentral. Lineage: Bacteria; Pseudomonadati; Pseudomonadota; Gammaproteobacteria; Vibrionales; Vibrionaceae.